AGGAUUAACGCUGGCGGCGUGCAUGAAACAUGCAAGUCGAGCGCGGUGUGAUGCGGGGUAACCCAAUUCACAUCUAGCGGCGAACGGGUGAGUAACACGUGAGCAACCUACCUUUGAGUUGGGGAUAGCCCUGGGAAACCAGGAUUAAUACCCGAUGUGGUCACAACAGGACAUCCUGAUGUGAGUAAAGGCGCAAGCCGCUCAAUGACGGGCUCGCGGCCUAUUAGCUUGUUGGUGGGGUAACGGCCUACCAAGGCGAUGAUGGGUAGCUGGUCUGAGAGGACGAUCAGCCACACUGGGACUGAGACACGGCCCAGACUCCUACGGGAGGCAGCAGUUAGGAAUUUUCCGCAAUGGGCGAAAGCCUGACGGAGCAACGCCGCGUGAGUGAUGAAGACCUUAGGGUUGUAAAGCUCUGUCGGAGGGGAAGAACACAAUGACGGUACCCUCCAAGAAGCCCGGCUAACUACGCGCCAGCAGCCGCGGUAAU
Molecule: ribosomal RNA, 490 nt
Filed under: uncultured bacterium
Lineage: Bacteria
Description: SSU rRNA
Rfam family: Bacterial small subunit ribosomal RNA
Source: RNAcentral